GCUUACGACCAUACCAACCUGGACAUGCCCGAUCUCGUCUUAUCUCGGAAGCUAAGCAGGUUUGGGCCUGGUUAGUACUUGGAUGGGAGACCGCCUUGAAAUACCAGGUGCUGUAAGCU
Carassius auratus (goldfish) is the source of this 119-nucleotide ribosomal RNA. The record is from Ensembl. NCBI's taxonomy places the organism in Eukaryota, Metazoa, Chordata, Actinopteri, Cypriniformes, Cyprinidae.